CAGUCGCCGCGGUAAUACGUAGGUGGCAAGCGUUGUCCGGAAUUAUUGGGCGUAAAGGGCUCGCAGGCGGUUUCUUAAGUCUGAUGUGAAAGCCCCCGGCUCAACCGGGGAGGGUCAUUGGAAACUGGGAAACUUGAGUGCAGAAGAGGAGAGUGGAAUUCCACGUGUAGCGGUGAAAUGCGUAGAGAUGUGGGGGAACACCAGUGGCGAAGGCGACUCUCUGGUCUGUAACUGACGCUGAGGAGCGAAAGCGUGGGGAGCGAACAGGAUUAGAUACCCGAGUAGUCCCUGUCUCUUAUAC
Molecule: ribosomal RNA, 301 nt
Filed under: uncultured bacterium
Lineage: Bacteria
Description: partial 16S ribosomal RNA
Rfam family: Bacterial small subunit ribosomal RNA
Source: RNAcentral